AUGGAGAAAGUGGAAGGUUUGAUGCAGAAGUUGCGGUUGCCAGAAGCAGAGAAGAAGGGAGUCAAGAUCGGAAGGGGCGGGUUGAGGAGAACGGGAACGGAAGAUCCACAGGCGAUCGGUAAGGUUAUGUCCGACAAACCAGUAUAUGUGGAAGGUAUGAUUAAAUCCCUCGGAAGAGCGUGGUGUCCGAUCAAGGGAAUCAAGUGCAAGGAGUUAGAGGACAACACCUUUCUUUUCACCUUCUUGCAAGCAGCGGGGAAGAGGAAAGCAUUGGAGGAAGGGCCAUGGAUGGUGGGCAAGAACCUGAUUGUGAUGGUAGAUUUCGACCCAGCUAAAACGCUAGAAGAGUAUGAGUUCACUAUCAUCCCUAUUUGGGUCAGGGUGACCAAGAUGCCGCUAGGUUUCAUGAGUGAAGAAAACGGAGGGAUCAUUGGUGACGAGAUUGGCGAGUUCAUGGAGGUAACCAGGGGGAUGAUGAUAAUGUGGCUGGAAGUUUCCUUAGGCUGA
RNAcentral lists this ribosomal RNA (507 nucleotides) under Triticum aestivum (bread wheat). RNAcentral's name for it is "partial small subunit ribosomal RNA". Lineage: Eukaryota; Viridiplantae; Streptophyta; Magnoliopsida; Poales; Poaceae. The record is from RNAcentral.